This is a long non-coding RNA of Haliotis rubra (blacklip abalone), 133 nucleotides long. RefSeq lists it as uncharacterized. The record is from RefSeq and is a predicted model, not a curated record. The transcript has 3 exons. NCBI's taxonomy places the organism in Eukaryota, Metazoa, Mollusca, Gastropoda, Lepetellida, Haliotidae.
AACAACUUCUUUACUUCGUGAGUGCGACGUUUUGAUACAGAUCGUUCCUGCUCGACAACGGUACACGAAUCUAUAUCGAAACGUCGCACUUACCAAAUAAAGAAGUUGUUAUCCAUAAACAAUCUUACUUUCC